GACGAACGCUGGCGGCGUGCUUAACACAUGCAAGUCGAACGGUGAAGCGCCUUCCUUUUUGGUGGGUGUGGAUGAGUGGCGAACGGGUGAGUAACACGUGAGUAACCUGCCCCCUUCUUCUGGAUAACCGCAUGAAAGUGUGGCUAAUACGGGAUAUUCUGGGUCUGUCGCAUGAUGGGUCUGGGAAAGAUAUUGUUUCGGUGGGGGAUGGGCUCGCGGCCUAUCAGCUUGUUGGUGGGGUGAUGGCCUACCAAGGCGGUGACGGGUAGCCGGCCUGAGAGGGUGGACGGUCCCACUGGGAAGGAGACACGGCCAAGACUCCUACGGGAGGCAGCAGUGGGGAAUAUUGCACAAUGGGCGCAAGCCUGAUGCAGCGACGCCGCGUGAGGGAUGGAGGCCUGCGGGUUGUGAACCUCUUUCGCCAGUGAAGCAGGCCUGCCUCGUUUGUGGGUGGGUUGACGGUAGCUGGAUAAGAAGCGCCGGCUAACUACGUG
RNAcentral lists this ribosomal RNA (494 nucleotides) under uncultured bacterium. RNAcentral's name for it is "partial 16S ribosomal RNA". It matches the Rfam family "Bacterial small subunit ribosomal RNA", at positions 28 to 507 of the family's 1533-position model. The record is from RNAcentral.